AAAUGCCUUUUGGAUAAAACAUAUUUUGACCUAAGUCAGAUAACAUUGCAAAGGCAGUUGCAUUUGACUGUUGAAGUUGUUCAUUUAAGCUUUGGGCUAAAGGAUUCAUUAUUGCUUAACCUCUCUUUAAAAAAUUGUAUGCCUAUAUAUUAUCUUCAAUUAUACCAAAGAUAAAGUGUUGUUGGUGAAUUAACGAAUAAUAUGUAAAAUCUGCUGCCAAAAUACGAACAUAUGUUCUGUUUUUAUGUUAGAAUAGGUG
RNAcentral lists this small RNA (259 nucleotides) under Staphylococcus aureus. RNAcentral's name for it is "HMPRFS0000_2146". The record is from RNAcentral. Lineage: Bacteria; Bacillati; Bacillota; Bacilli; Caryophanales; Staphylococcaceae.